This 468-nucleotide ribosomal RNA is filed under the name uncultured bacterium. Its description in RNAcentral is "partial 16S ribosomal RNA". It matches the Rfam family "Bacterial small subunit ribosomal RNA", at positions 28 to 507 of the family's 1533-position model. The record is from RNAcentral.
GACGAACGCUGGCGGCGUGCUUAACACAUGCAAGUCGAACGGAAAGGCCCUGCUUUUGUGGGGUGCUCGAGUGGCGAACGGGUGAGUAACACGUGAGUAACCUGCCCUUGACUUUGGGAUAACUUCAGGAAACUGGGGCUAAUACCGGAUAGGAGCUCCUGCUGCAUGGUGGGGGUUGGAAAGUUUCGGCGGUUGGGGAUGGACUCGCGGCUUAUCAGCUUGUUGGUGGGGUAGUGGCUUACCAAGGCUUUGACGGGUAGCCGGCCUGAGAGGGUGACCGGCAACAUUGGGACUGAGAUACGGCCCAGACUCCUACGGGAGGCAGCAGUGGGGAAUAUUGCACAAUGGGCGGAAGCCUGUUGCAGCAACGCCGCGUGCGGGAUGACGGCCUUCGGGUUGUAAACCGCUUUCGCCUGUGACGAAGCGUGAGUGACGGUAAUGGGUAAAGAAGCACCGGCUAACUACGUG